This 253-nucleotide ribosomal RNA is filed under the name uncultured bacterium. Its description in RNAcentral is "partial 16S ribosomal RNA". It matches the Rfam family "Bacterial small subunit ribosomal RNA", at positions 524 to 776 of the family's 1533-position model. The record is from RNAcentral.
UACGAAGGGGGCUAGCGUUGUUCGGAAUUACUGGGCGUAAAGCGCACGUAGGCGGGUUGUUAAGUCAGGGGUGAAAUCCUGGAGCUCAACUCCAGAACUGCCUUUGAUACUGGCAACCUAGAGACUGGAAGAGGUUAGUGGAAUUCCCAGUGUAGAGGUGAAAUUCGUAGAUAUUGGGAAGAACGCCAGUGGCGAAGGCGGCUAACUGGUCCAGCACUGACGCUGAGGUGCGAAAGCGUGGGGAGCAAACAGG